UCUUUGGUUGUACAAAGUGGUAUGGCUCAUCGAAUAAGCACAUACUGCUUUUCAGCUAAAGGAA
This 64-nucleotide microRNA precursor is filed under the name Caenorhabditis elegans. Its description in RNAcentral is "Cel-Mir-9-P16_pre stem-loop". It matches the Rfam family "mir-244 microRNA precursor family", at positions 16 to 78 of the family's 94-position model. The record is from RNAcentral. Lineage: Eukaryota; Metazoa; Nematoda; Chromadorea; Rhabditida; Rhabditidae.